Molecule: transfer RNA, 64 nt
Filed under: Ammophila sabulosa
Lineage: Eukaryota; Metazoa; Arthropoda; Insecta; Hymenoptera; Sphecidae
Also listed under: 1 other name
Description: tRNA-Asn
Source: RNAcentral
UUAAUAGAAACCAAAUUAGAGGUAUAUCACUGUUAAUGAUAAAAUUGAAUUAAAUCCUAUUAUA